GAAUAUUGGACAAUGGGCGAAAGCCUGAUCCAGCCAUGCCGCGUGUGUGAAGAAGGUCUUCGGAUUGUAAAGCACUUUAAGUUGGGAGGAAGGGCAGUGAGCGAAUACCUUGCUGUUUUUACGUUACCUACAGCAUAAGCACCGGCUAACUCUGGGCCAGCAGCCUCGGUAAAACAGAGGGUGCACACGUUAAGCGGCAUUACUGGGCGUAAAGCGCGCGUAGGUGGUUCGUUAAGUUGGAUGUGAAAUCCCCGGGCUCAACCUGGGAACUGCAUCCAAAACUGGCGAGCUAGAGUAGGGCAGAGGGUGGUGGAAUUUCCUGUGUAGCGGUGAAAUGCGUAGAUAUAGGAAGGAACACCAGUGGCGAAGGCGACCACCUGGGCUCAUACUGACACUGAGGUGCGAAAGCGUGGGGAGCAAACAG
RNAcentral lists this ribosomal RNA (424 nucleotides) under uncultured bacterium. RNAcentral describes it as "partial 16S ribosomal RNA". It matches the Rfam family "Bacterial small subunit ribosomal RNA", at positions 359 to 775 of the family's 1533-position model. The record is from RNAcentral.